Molecule: ribosomal RNA, 287 nt
Filed under: uncultured prokaryote
Description: partial 16S ribosomal RNA
Rfam family: Archaeal small subunit ribosomal RNA
Source: RNAcentral
CACUGGCAGCUCAAGUGGUGGCCGUUUUUAUUGGGCCUAAAGCGUUCGUAGCCGGUUUGAUAAGUCUCUGGUGAAAUCCUGUAGCUUAACUGUGGGAAUUGCUGGAGAUACUAUUAGACUUGAGACCGGGAGAGGUUAGAGGUACUCCCAGGGUAGAGGUGAAAUUCUGUAAUCCUGGGAGGACCGCCUGUUGCGAAGGCGUCUAACUGGAACGGUUCUGACGGUGAGGGACGAAAGUUAGGGGCGCGAACCGGAUUAGAUACCCCCGUAGUCCCUGAGCGGGCUGG